CCUGAGUACGACGGAGCACGUGAAAUUCCGUCGGAAUCUGGGAGGACCAUCUCCUAAGGCUAAAUACUCUCUAGUGACCGAUAGUGAACCAGUACCGUGAGGGAAAGGUGAAAAGUACCCCGGAAGGGGAGUGAAAGAGAACUUGAAACCGUGUGCUUACAAGUAGUCAGAGCCCGUUAAUGGGUGAUGGCGUGCCUUUUGUAGAAUGAACCGGCGAGUUACGAUCUGAUGCAAGGUUAAGCAGAAAAUGUGGAGCCGUAGCGAAAGCGAGUCUGAAUAGGGCGAAUGAGUAUUUGGUCGUAGACCCGAAACCAGGUGAUCUACCCUUGGUCAGGUUGAAGUUCAGGUAACACUGAAUGGAGGACCGAACCGACUUACGUUGAAAAGUGAGCGGAUGAACUGAGGGUAGCGGAGAAAUUCCAAUCGAACUUGGAGAUAGCUGGUUCUCUCCGAAAUAGCUUUAGGGCUAGCCUCAAGUGAUGAUUAUUGGAGGUAGAGCACUGUUUGGACGAGGGGCCCCUCUCGGGUUACCGAAUUCAGACAAACUCCGAAUGCCAAAUAAUUUAACUUGGGAGUCAGAAUGUGGGUGAUAAGGUCCAUAUUCGAAAGGGAAACAGCCCAGACCACCAGCUAAGGUCCCAAAAUAUAUGUUAAGUGGAAAAGGAUGUGGCGUUGCCCAGACAACUAGGAUGUUGGCUUAGAAGCAGCCAUCAUUUAAAGAGUGCGUAAUAGCUCACUAGUCGAGUGACACUGCGCCGAAAAUGUACCGGGGCUAAACAUAUUACCGAAGCUGUGGAUUGUCCUUUGGACAAUGGUAGGAGAGCGUUCUAAGGGCGUUGAAGCAUGAUCGCAAGGACAUGUGGAGCGCUUAGAAGUGAGAAUGCCGGUGUGAGUAGCGAAAGACGGGUGAGAAUCCCGUCCACCGAUUGACUAAGGUUUCCAGAGGAAGGCUCGUCCGCUCUGGGUUAGUCGGGUCCUAAGCUGAGGCCGACAGGCGUAGGCGAUGGAUAACAGGUUGAUAUUCCUGUACCACCAUUAUUCGUUUUAAGCG
RNAcentral lists this ribosomal RNA (1051 nucleotides) under Staphylococcus pseudintermedius. RNAcentral's name for it is "partial 23S ribosomal RNA". It matches the Rfam family "Bacterial large subunit ribosomal RNA", at positions 407 to 1465 of the family's 2925-position model. Lineage: Bacteria; Bacillati; Bacillota; Bacilli; Caryophanales; Staphylococcaceae. The record is from RNAcentral.